Molecule: non-coding RNA, 844 nt
Organism: Punica granatum (pomegranate)
Lineage: Eukaryota; Viridiplantae; Streptophyta; Magnoliopsida; Myrtales; Lythraceae
Source: RefSeq, a predicted model, not a curated record
CGAGACUGUCCCGACGGAUUUCCUCUCGAGCUUUGUUGGUUCGCAUGGUUUGAGUUCGGGUAACAGUGGAGCUGAUAGCAGGUGGCUCAGUGGUGGCCAUUUCGCCCACAAAAAUCGCAGAAUGGGUGACCUCGAGGCUUGAAAUCGCCUCGGUUGGAACUGAAAUUAGGGUUACUACCCUCGGAAUCGAUCGCGACUUUGGCUGCAAAACCCAUCACUUCGGAGCUGGAAUCUCUUCUUUGAGCAAUCAAUCGUUGAGCUUCAUCGAGGGCGGCCAUCGAAUGGGCUCUAUUGACGUUCGACAGAGGAUCUAUGCUUAGAAUUUGUGACCGAAUGAUUGAAAAUUCGGGAUUGAGGCCGAUUAGAAACUGAUGAACCUUCUCAUUCUCCUUUUGGGCAGCAAUUUGAGCACUGGCAUCACAGGUGCAUGCCGACAAAUCAAGAAUCGUUCCCUGAGAUCAUCCCAGAGGAUUUGGCAUUCUUUGCCCCAGCUACAGAAUUCUGCUGCUCUUCCUCUAAGUGAUUGAAAAUCCAGGAAACGAGCAUUGAGUUGCACGUUACCUACUGCUUGUGGAAAUCAGUUGAGUCCCUGGGCCAUCUGAGGGAGAGAGGAUAUAUGCUGGUGGCAUGCUCGUAUUCUUCGACAUUUCAAUGAUUCAACAGUGACGCUCAGUUCAAAAGAAACUGGCAGGAAGGAAAAGAAUGAGCCGACUCUCUGACAAGAGGAAAGAACCAGGUGACGCUCAGUUCAGAAAACUGGCUAGAUGGAAGCUCGACCGGGAACAAGCCAGCAAUGAAAAACUUGACGAUCACUGCUCUAAUACCAUGUAAAGAGGCGAAAUUG